AUUGAACGCUGGCGGCAGGCUUAACACAUGCAAGUCGAGCGGGGUGAUGGUGCUUGCACUAUCACUUAGCGGCGGACGGGUGAGUAAUGCUUAGGAAUCUGCCUAUUAGUGGGGGACAACAUCUCGAAAGGGAUGCUAAUACCGCAUACGUCCUACGGGAGAAAGCAGGGGAUCACUUGUGACCUUGCGCUAAUAGAUGAGCCUAGGUCGGAUUAGCGAGGUGGUGGGGUAAAGGCCUACCGAGGCGACGUUCUGUAGCGGGUCUGAGAGGAUGAUCCGCCACACUGGGACUGAGACACGGCCCAGACUACUACGGGAGGCAGCAGUGGGGAAUAUUGGACAAUGGGGGGAACCCUGAUCCAGCCAUGCCGCGUGUGUGAAGAAGGCCUUAUGGUUGUAAAGCACUUUAAGCGAGGAAGAGGCUCUUUUGGUUAAUACCAAAGAUGAGUGGACGUUACUCGCAGAAUAAGCACCGGCUAACUCUGUGCCAGCCGCCGCAGUAA
This 503-nucleotide ribosomal RNA is filed under the name uncultured bacterium. Its description in RNAcentral is "partial 16S ribosomal RNA". It matches the Rfam family "Bacterial small subunit ribosomal RNA", at positions 30 to 523 of the family's 1533-position model. The record is from RNAcentral.